This 328-nucleotide unclassified non-coding RNA is filed under the name uncultured fungus. RNAcentral describes it as "partial contains small subunit ribosomal RNA, internal transcribed spacer 1, and 5.8S ribosomal RNA". The stretch from base 1 to 73 matches the Rfam family "Eukaryotic small subunit ribosomal RNA", at positions 1759 to 1831 of the family's 1831-position model. Lineage: Eukaryota; Fungi. The record is from RNAcentral.
UCAAACUUGGUCAUUUAGAGGAAGUAAAAGUCGUAACAAGGUAACCGUAGGUGAACCUGCGGUUGGAUCAUUAGUGAAUAUUAUCCAAUAACACAAACACAUGUGAACCUAUUCUGGUCUAUUUUGGUCGUCUGUGCCGCAUGGUGCGGUGUGAUGGUUGUGUGGGUUAUUAUUCUCCCAUGCUUCCUUCUUUUUCGCACCUUGCCGGGCGGCCAAACACGAGAAACACCCUAAACGUUUUCUACAUGUGGGAAUGUUUUAUAUAAAAAAAACAAAAACAACUUUUGACAACGGAUCUCUUGGCUCUCGCAUCGAUGAAGAACGCAGC